AAGAUAGGUAUAAGUCGCUAUAACUGAAACGAUGUGAAUAAUCGAUUGUCAUUUUAAAAAUAAAAAAUCGCCGAUGUCGGUAUUUUUUUUUUUAAUAAUACGAAUAUUCCUGCCGCGGCUUAACUAAAAUAAAAAAAAUGGCUGACGAAGCUGAAUCAUCCGAUAAGAUUGAAGUCUAAAUAUACCUGGCGAAUUGCCAAUACGAAGCUAAAGUGACCAGGGUUAAAAUGUAAAUAUGUUAAAAGAGUAUUUUAUAGAAUUUAAAUAAUUUCAUUGUUAUUGAUAUCUGUAUUAAUAUAGGGAGGUGACCAUUCUACAUUGAUUCAGUGCCUUUUUAUGGGAUUCGAAACUGUGACUGUGAGAUGUAUGAGAGUUUGACUUCUAGGCGGGCAAUUCUACUUUCACUUUAAACGGUAAGUUGAAAAGAGCAUGCUGCAUCUUUGAUGUAAAAUAUCUCGAAAAGGAAUCAAGGACCCUAUUGCAAAUUUGGCCUUGUUGGAAAGGAUGGCAGGUGCCUGAGUGUAUCCCGACCCAUUUCCAGGCUAGCAUCAGAUGUCAUGAUGGACCUUUAAAAUCUUUCACAUGUGUACUUUCAAGAACCAUAUACAUUAUUUUUGAAAACUGGUUGCCAUGGUAAUAAAAUCUGAAAAUUAAAACAUGGGCUU
Ostrea edulis (European flat oyster) is the source of this 665-nucleotide long non-coding RNA. RefSeq lists it as uncharacterized. Lineage: Eukaryota; Metazoa; Mollusca; Bivalvia; Ostreida; Ostreidae. The record is from RefSeq and is a predicted model, not a curated record. The transcript is spliced from 2 exons.